CUGAAAAUAAAUAAAUUAAUUUUUAAAAAAGGUGAGAAUUAAUUGUAGGGGAUGGGCAUAUCAGGAGAAGAUUUCUGAUUGUGGCUCCGAGGAGAAAAGAGGGCCUGAAUGUGAUUUGAGUCAGCAUGGAGAACUUUCCGUAUGCCCUAGGAUUCCCACAGAGGCUCCCCCCGCCCCCCGCUUGCUGACCUUAGGACCCAUUUCACGGAGCAGCUCUUCUCAGAUUGGGACUCAAGGGUGGAGAGAAAUUAGAGGGGCAUGCCCGAGAAGAAAGGCAUUCCCUGUGGAGAAAGCAGCACGGCGGAGGGUGCGGGGAGGGUCAGCAUGCUAUCUAGACGGAGAACUAAGGACAAGAAGGUAAACUGAGGCUCAAUCCUGCCAUGCUCUGUGGGCGGGCAAAAUGGGCAUCAGAGUUACAGGAAUAGGAAAGGGAUGCAUCAGAGGCCCUGGGGAAGGGCUCGGCUUUGUAAGGACUGGACUGAAGAUGAUGGGGUAGGAGAGGCCCUUCUUGAAUCACUUUAAAAACCUUCAGAGACUCAACUGACAGGUUUACCAACACAUGUAAACAUACUCUGUCUCAGUUAGGGGUAGGCUCAGAAAGACCCACCAAGAUCAUGGCUAAAUUAGACCGAAUGUUUCAUGUCUGCACUGGGGGAAUGGUCUAUGUCGCUAACAUGUAUGUCACUAAAUCCUUGGAUGUGCUUGUAAUUUAUAUGAAAAUGUUAAACAAAAACAAAAACAAAAAACCCCCAAACACCCCCGCCUCCCAAAACCAAAAAACAACAAAACCAACCCGGUCUCCCUUUUUUUUUUUUUUUUUCCUAAGAGAGUUUAAGCUAUCCUAUGGUCUCUAGCCUUGGAUUUUUAAUUCACGGCAAUGAUUUUCAAAUCAGUGAAACAUUUUCUGCAUAUUAUCAAUUUCUGACUACAAAUUAGAAAAAUGCAAACCCUCUGUCUUAGCACCCGGCAUCUCUGAGAAGACAUUCUUUUCACAAUGACAUUUGAAGGCUUUCUGGAGGUGACCGAUGGGACAGUCAUUCUGAGUGAAUUUAGAGAUUUUAAUUACUGUUGUAUUUAAUUGCAAGUGGGUGCUGUGGGAAAAAAAAAAAAAAAAAGCUGUCAACAAAGGAAGUAAUUAUUCCAAAGCAUUACAUCUGCUCCCCGUUCUCUGUCAAAAAUUUCUCACUAAAAAUGUGUUUCUUUAAACGUAACUCAAAGCAGCUGAUGAAAUGUAAGACCAUGGAAAGUUUCAAAUCCCAGAGCAAAUGCUGGGGACUUGACUCAGUGGCAAAAGACCUCCCCACCGUCCCUCGUAUCCCUUCCCGGGGCUUCCUACAGAGUGGACAGAGCAACACUAAAGCUACAGACAACUGUCCAGACAGGAGGUAAUCCCGCAAACCCUCCCAGGAUGCCUGCGUCAACAGCCAAGGCCAGCAUGUGGAAGAGCUGAGCUGUAAGAACAAUAAGGCAGGGGCUGUGUUCAUUUUGCUGUUGCUCUAUAUCCAGAAGCUAACACGGUGCCUGCAACAUAUUAUAGCGGCAUCAGAUGAUUUUAUAGCCCACUGGGGCCAGAGGAUUCGCUGGGAAGCAGAGUGUACCUACAUGAGCAAGUUGUACUGUAUAAAGUGGCAAGUGAUCUCAGACAAUUACAGAAACCUUCCUGUCUCAGUUGGUACCCUGGAGACAGCCGAUAAUGCUGGCAUACACUGCUAAAACUGUCAGCAAUAAGACGUGAGGAAAACCCAAACCAGAACUUUUAACAAAUUAUGAGGGUGUGGAAAAGAGCAGAAACGUCUUGGUAAUGACUUACAUUAACAAUACAGCUGCCUCCUCGAGCUCCCCGAGUCAUAAAACACUAACAGCUAGGGGCUGAAAGGAAAACAUGUGCACGUUACAAGGAAAUGAAGAUCAGAGAAACAGACUUUGCAUGGGGGUGUGGUGGUUGCCAAGCUAAAUGCAGAAGAGCCACGGUUCCGCUGAUGCGAAAAGAGUCAACCACGACACAGGGAAGGCGGCCGAGUGGACUUAUCUCAUGCACAGGCCACGGUGACUAAAGGUGGUUCAGGUGGAAAUCACUGGGUUUAAACCACCAGCAGUAGUGAUGGGGCCUAUAGCUCGGUCUCCUCAUCCGUCAACUAUGGCCAAUGGCUUCUGUAAAGAAAGCAUUUUGGGGGCACCUGGGUGGCUCAGUUAGUUAAGGCCUCUGCCUUUGGCUCAGGUCACGAUCUCAGGGU
This is a long non-coding RNA of Mustela erminea (ermine), 2234 nucleotides long. RefSeq lists it as uncharacterized. The transcript has 4 exons. NCBI's taxonomy places the organism in Eukaryota, Metazoa, Chordata, Mammalia, Carnivora, Mustelidae. The record is from RefSeq and is a predicted model, not a curated record.